Molecule: long non-coding RNA, 263 nt
Filed under: Elaeis guineensis (African oil palm)
Lineage: Eukaryota; Viridiplantae; Streptophyta; Magnoliopsida; Arecales; Arecaceae
Description: long non-coding RNA (EGUI_LNC020442)
Source: RNAcentral
CGAUGGCUGUUGACUCAUUAAGGUCCUUGACCUCCAAGGUUGUGAUAUUGAAAUACGUCAUGAAGUCCCAUAGAGAUUCUCCAUCCUGUUUUCUAACAAAGAAAAGGCUAUCAGAGGUUUGUAUCACCCUUCGAUUGAUGCCGAAGUGCAUCAUGAAGAGUUGCUCGAACUGCUCGAAUGAAUGGAUGCUCUCUGGUUGAAGUUUGGAGUACCAUGUUUGGAUAGUUUUUUGAAGAAUAACCCAAAAAGCGAUGCAGAGGAGG